This 460-nucleotide ribosomal RNA is filed under the name uncultured bacterium. Its description in RNAcentral is "partial 16S ribosomal RNA". It matches the Rfam family "Bacterial small subunit ribosomal RNA", at positions 338 to 795 of the family's 1533-position model. The record is from RNAcentral.
CCUACGGGUGGCAGCAGUGAGGGAUAUUGGUCAAUGGCCGGAAGGCUGAACCAGCAAUGCCGCGUGAAGGUCAGUGCCCUAUGGGCGUUAAACUUCUUUUGUGCGGGAGCAAUAAUGGUCACGUGUGGCCAGACGAUAGUACCGUCCGAAUAAGCAUCGGCUCACUCCGUGCCAGCAGCCGCGGUAAUACGGGAGAUGCAAGCGUUAUCGGGAUUUAUGGGGUUUAAAGGGUGCCGAGGCGGUGAGGUAAGUCAGCGGUGAAAUGCCCCCGCUCAACGGGGUGAAGUGCCAUUGAUACUGCCGUGCUGGAAUGCGGAUGCCGUGGGAGGAAUGUGUGGUGUAGCGGUGAAAUGCAUAGAUAUCACACAGAACACCGAUUGCGAAGGCAUCUCACGAAGCCGCGAUUGACGCUGAUGCACGAAAGCGUGGGUAUCAAACAGGAUUAGAUACCCGAGUAGUC